CAGCAGCCGCGGGAAUACGUAGGGUGCGAGCGUUGAUCGGAAUUACUGGGCGUAAAGCGUGCGCAGGCGGUUAUAUAAGACAGAUGUGAAAUCCCCGGGCUCAACCUGGGAAUGGCGCUUGUGACUGCAAAGCUAGAGUGCGGCAGAGGGGGAUGGAAUUCCGCGUGUAGCAGUGAAAUGCGUAGAUAUGCGGAGGAACACCGAUGGCGAAGGCAAUCCCCUGGGCCUGCACUGACGCUCAUGCGCGAAAGCGUGGGGAGCGAACAGGAUUAGAUACCCCAGUAGUCCCUGUCUCUUAUAC
RNAcentral lists this ribosomal RNA (301 nucleotides) under uncultured bacterium. RNAcentral describes it as "partial 16S ribosomal RNA". It matches the Rfam family "Bacterial small subunit ribosomal RNA", at positions 509 to 807 of the family's 1533-position model. The record is from RNAcentral.